GGUGACUACCACUUAGUACUGGCUUCAGUUCCAACAAAAAAAGUUCGAUGUUUGAGUCUAUGAUCAUAUUUUUAUUUUUAUAUUUAAAUAUGUUGGCGUUAUACGUAAUAAAUUAUAACAAAUCUAUAGCAAGUAUUAGAAACAGUAACGUGCCGCCGUAUGAAUAAUUGUCAGAGGUUUUGCGCAGUGCCACACCCAUUGAGUUUAGAAAUCGACAAGCAAAAACUAUGUCGUGCGCAGCCGCUGAAUCACAUUAUUAAUUAAACUAUACAUAGCCAUGACUACGCGAACUGGCGAAACGGAACCGCAGCUGCAGCAGCCGUUUUUUUAUCGAUCUCGUCGUUCUACGUUCUUCUAGAAUGUUCUAUACGGCGGCGGCCCUUCCACUUCGCGCACACUCACAAACGCCGCCGCCGCCGCCGUCAACAUCGCUGAUACCUACUGCUGCGUAGUUCAUUUGCGGUCCGCACUCUGAAGCUCUUGGACUGUGGUUGACCGUUCUCUUGCUGGUGCACCUAGAACAAAUAUGGCGGACGUUUUGUUACAGAAAUGGACGUCCGAAAACCGAAAACGACAUCCGCCCGGCCAUCACUCGGUGCGGGUGCAGAUCACUGGCCUCGGAGCUUUUGCUUUGUCACGCCCGGCUGACUGACGGACUCGAUUUUCUAUGAUAAUUUCAAAUGGUAUUGAAACCACUUAAACAGAAAGAAAUAUCAAACAGAUGACAAUAGUGAUCAAAGAUCUAAAAUGUUCAUCAUUUGACCAUAAAAAUGUCAGAGAAUAUACGUGCACCGCAAGGUGAAAUUUGAAUAUGUGCAUGCAGUCUCAAUAUGGUUAUCUAUGUUGUAAGUACGGAUCUUAUGCUUAAUUUAAGGUAAGUACAAACAUUACUUUAUUUUUAUACAAAAUUUGGAUUUUAUAAGAUACACUAUUUUCAGUAAAGAUAGAGGAGUGGGUUUUCAUUACACAAUUAUUUGACCAAUUGGAUUGGUAUAUAGUAUUGUGAAUCCAACAUCACGUCAUUAUUAUUAUUCAACCGUCAUUACACAAAGGUUGGAAAACUUACUCCACAGUUAAACCCUGAGUUAGGUUGUUAAUUCUAGGGUUUAUUAGAAGUUUAUUGUUUAUUCAUCGCCAUAAUUAUUAGCCAUGACCUGACCAGUGUUGAAGAUUUAUACUACUUCAACGCUUAACUAUUUAUAUGUUGACUAAAUCUUCGCUUGUCAAGAGUUUCUAAGAUUUUCCAAACCUCAUAUAUUAGAAGUUGGAGUUAAUAUUUCUAAUGGAUGGUCCUUAAGAUGAAGUGUUUAAAAUUGGAAAUGUGUUAAAACAUUUAGACACAGCUGGAUAUUUUUGUAUCUAUUACUUUGUAUUAGCAAAGAGGUUGGUGGAGUAACUGAUGAUCAACCCCUAAUCAACCCCAUCUAAGUUGCUGUAGACUCAGACGUGAAGUUAACUAGUGAAAAACAAACUAUACUACAAACUAUGAUUUUGGCUCUUUAGUCUAGAGCCCCUGUGGGCUUGAAGUUGUCAAUUUUUUUUUAUGUAACAAUUUAUUUUCAACACAAUUUUAAAUCUGUUUGCCUAGUGUUUAUCUAACAUGAGUGCCUUCGGUUUCUUUCAAACCCUAAAUGUAUUUAUUUGAAAAUAAUUGUAAACUAACAUAACUUGAUAGUAAUCAAUAAAUACACAACUAUUUGACUUUAUACUAUAUUAUGUAUCAAUAUAUCUAUAAUGUUGUCUAAAGGCAUAAUUAAUAUACUAUCUUAGUUCUGUUAACUACCUAUCUUCAAUUCUAAAAAAAUAAUAUACCUACACCUAAUAUA
Myzus persicae (green peach aphid) is the source of this 1826-nucleotide long non-coding RNA. RefSeq lists it as uncharacterized. The record is from RefSeq and is a predicted model, not a curated record. NCBI's taxonomy places the organism in Eukaryota, Metazoa, Arthropoda, Insecta, Hemiptera, Aphididae. The transcript is spliced from 5 exons.